UACCGAGUUUACAACUCCCAAACCCAAUGUGAACGUUACCAAACUGUUGCCUCGGCGGGAUCUCUGCCCCGGGUGCGUCGCAGCCCCGGACCAAGGCGCCCGCCGGAGGACCAACCUAAAACUCUUAUUGUAUACCCCCUCGCGGGUUUUUUUUAUAAUCUGAGCCUUCUCGGCGCCUCUCGUAGGCGUUUCGAAAAUGAAUCAAAACUUUCAACAACGGAUCUCUUGGUUCUGGCAUCGAUGAAGAACGCAGCGAAAUGCGAUAAGUAAUGUGAAUUGCAGAAUUCAGUGAAUCAUCGAAUCUUUGAACGCACAUUGCGCCCGCCAGUAUUCUGGCGGGCAUGCCUGUCCGAGCGUCAUUUCAACCCUCGAACCCCUCCGGGGGGUCGGCGUUGGGGAUCGGCCCUCCCUUAGCGGGUGGCCGUCUCCGAAAUACAGUGGCGGUCUCGCCGCAGCCUCUCCUGCGCAGUAGUUUGCACACUCGCAUCGGGAGCGCGGCGCGUCCACAGCCGUUAAACACCCAACUUCUGAAAUGUUGACCUCGGAUCAGGUAGGAAUACCCGCUGAACUUAAGCAUAUCAAUAAGCGGAGGA
RNAcentral lists this ribosomal RNA (593 nucleotides) under Trichoderma harzianum. RNAcentral describes it as "eukaryotic LSU rRNA". The stretch from base 206 to 359 matches the Rfam family "5.8S ribosomal RNA". The record is from RNAcentral. Lineage: Eukaryota; Fungi; Ascomycota; Sordariomycetes; Hypocreales; Hypocreaceae.